AAUGCGAAAUCAUUCCUCUCCGUGCCUUGCCACUCUUCCUCACACAAACAACUCUCUAAGUGCCUUAUUCUCUCCGAGAAGUGAUAACCACACACCAAUCUUCUUUUUCUCGAUCUCGCUCUCGCUUUCACAUCUCCAUCAUUUCAUGUUCUUCAUCGCUCAAAUCUCUUCCCAGAUUUCAUCUCAAUCUUAAUCGCGCUCUGAAUCCUUUUCUCGGACAAGCUUGUGUUGAUUUUGAUUGAAAUCUCAACGGCGCUUUAGUAAUCAGUCGUGGAAUCCGCCAACAGAGUUAAACACAUUGAGUUCAUAAAGGCCUGGCACAUCUUGUAAUGUACAUCACUGUAAUAGCUUAUUUUCUCAUGGCAAGAACAUAAGAUAAUUUAUAUUUUAUUUGUGCUUGUUAAUAGUUUGGACCAUAUGCUUGGAAAACAUAUAAGGAAGUGUACGAUGAAGUUCUCCAAAUUGGUAAUUAUGAAAAUAUUCAUAUCAAUAACCAUGGAGAUAGAAACAAAAGGAAGCGGUGAUGAGAUGAAUAAUUCACCAUGUUCCACACUUGAUUUAUAUAGGUUAUUGAAGAGAUUCAUAUAAGAGGUAUGUGUUAAAUGUAUGGUGGGGUGUUGAUUUCUAAUGAUGCAUGUGGGUAUGCAAUAAGUCAUAAAGCGAUUCUUGGACCAAUUGCCAGUGUGGAAUUAUGAUUCUGAUGAGAAUGUUGAGAGUGGUAGUAAGGCUAUGGUGGUGGAAGAGAGUGGGAAUCAUAGCGGCAGAGGGAAUGGGAAUUUGAGCUUGAGUGGCGGUGUCAAUGGUGGAGAUCAGAAAGGGAAGAAGAAAGGGAUGCCGGUGAAGAAUCUCAUGGCCGAGAGGUGGCACAGGAAGAAGCUUAAUGAUAGGUUGUACAUGUUUAGGUCUAUUGUGCCAAAGAUUAGCAAGAUGGAUAGGGCUUCGAUACUUGGGGAUGCAAUCAACUGCUUGAGGGAGUUACUGCAGCAGAUUAAUGAUCUUCACAAUGAACUGGAGUCAACUCCACCUGGUUCUUCGCUGCAAUCUUCCACCACCAUCCUUCAAACUUUAACACCCACGCCGCAAACCCUUCCAUGCCAGGGGAAGGAGGAACUGUAUCCUGGUGUCUUGCCAUGCCCCAACACCAACUUGCAAAGGUGUGGUGCUAGAUAGUCUGUAGAUCUAAGUUCAUCAAAUGAAGAAGCACUUGAUGGAAUACUUGGAUUUGGAAAAGCUAAUUCUUCAUUGAUUUCACAACUUACUUCUUCUGGAAAAGUAAAAAAGAUGUUUGCUCAUUGUUUAAAUGGAGUAAAUGGAGGUGGCAUUUUUGCAAUAUAUUUUUAUCAGUUUACUUUUCUGAAAUCAUUUAGUAUGUAUCGAUGGGGUGCUUCAGUAACUAGUCACGUCUCUUAGUGUACCAAAUGACUUCUAGUAUCUCUCCAUUCAGUUUUGUAACUGCUAUUUGUUUCGAUGUUGCAGUGUUGAUGAUGGAUUUCCACUUGUCACUUUCUAUUUUGAAAUGGACUCUCUUUGAAGGUUUAUCCACAUGAUUAUCUAUUUGCUUCUAUAAGUACACAACAAACUCAUGCUUUAUCUUUGUCAUUUACUUUUCAAGUGUGGCAUAAGCUUUCUGUUUGAGACUGCAGUUCCAGUAUAACAUUAAUUUGAAAAAAUUUACUAGCAUAGAUGAUGAGGGAAAGAAAUUAGAUAUGUUUAUGAAAUAAAAACAACUUAUUAAAAUGUAAUGUAAUAAGAGAUAUCUUAGUAUUCUUUUAAAAAUGAGCAACUAUAUCAAUGACAACAUGGACACUUGCAAAAAGUACGGCUUGCAUCAAUCUUCUUUUCUCAUAUUUUCCAAUUUCAUUCCAUUUGAAAGCGUGCAAAGCAUCACAUGUAGUGCCUCUUAAUCGUUAUGUAUAAUACUUAUAUAAGUUAAAUACUAAUAUAGCCUGUCUGCAUAGGGUAACUUCUGGUGCAUUGGUUGGAAAAAUAGUGGGACUCAGUCCAAAAAUAAGAAGAAUAUGACUUUACUGAUUUGGUGUUUUCAAAUAAACUUGUCUUUUACAACCUUGAAAGUCAAGAUAUUGGGUGGACCGAGUACAAUUGUUCUUCAAGCAUUAAAGUGAGGGAUGAGCGAAUUGGCACAGUUCUUUUAGUUGGCCUUGUAUCUAUACAAAAGCAUUAAAGUGAGGGAUGGUCUACUUUUAAUACUGAUAUAUAGGAUUCUAUCUACACAAAAGCGACUUGCAAGUCAUUAUUUUUGGCCUUGUAUCUUUUUUAAGAGAAAUUUGUGUAUAAAUAUUUUAAAUUUAAUGAAAUAUUUCAUUUUGUAGUAA
Non-coding RNA from Arachis ipaensis, 2333 nucleotides. NCBI's taxonomy places the organism in Eukaryota, Viridiplantae, Streptophyta, Magnoliopsida, Fabales, Fabaceae. The record is from RefSeq and is a predicted model, not a curated record.